Non-coding RNA from Trichonephila clavipes, 84 nucleotides. The record is from the annotation of a GenBank genome assembly. Lineage: Eukaryota; Metazoa; Arthropoda; Arachnida; Araneae; Nephilidae.
GUCAGGAUGGCCGAUCGGUCUAAGGCGCUGCGUUUAGAUCAAAUUCCCCUUUUGUGGGCGUGGGUUUGAAUCCUACUUUUGACA